CUGCUGCCUUCCGUAGGAGUUUGGGCCGUGUCUCAGUCCCAAUGUGGCCGUCCACCCUCUCAGGCCGGCUACUGAUCGUCGCCUUGGUGGGCCGUUACCCCGCCAACAAGCUAAUCAGACGCGGGUCCAUCUUACACCACCGGAGUUUUUCACACAAAUCCAUGCGGCUUCGUGCGCUUAUGCGGUAUUAGCACCUAUUUCUAAGUGUUAUCCCCCAGUGUAAGGCGGUACCGUACCGCGUACUCUACCGUCCGUCCCGACCUAACGAAUUUUAA
Molecule: ribosomal RNA, 275 nt
Filed under: uncultured bacterium
Lineage: Bacteria
Description: partial 16S ribosomal RNA
Source: RNAcentral